RNAcentral lists this long non-coding RNA (1094 nucleotides) under Callithrix jacchus (white-tufted-ear marmoset). RNAcentral's name for it is "lncRNA (ENSCJAG00000074951.1)". Lineage: Eukaryota; Metazoa; Chordata; Mammalia; Primates; Cebidae. The record is from RNAcentral.
AUGGGCCAGUCCAAUCAAAGCAGUCAUUUCAGUUAUAAAAAUGGCAGCGUGAAAAGGAACCACAGAAAAGCAGUAGCAGCAGUUCCGUUUUUGCAAAGUGACCGUGCAGCUUCCUUGACUGUGUACAGGGAAGCAACCAAGCAGUUUCCCAACACAAUUGCUCAGUCUGGUCCAGUCAAUCACUUGGCAGGUCUGGAGAUAGAAACCUAUAGAAAUGAUCCUGUGGUCCACUCUGAGCCCCUGUCUCAUGCUGUGGAACCUCAGAAUUAUCAUAUUGUCAGAACUGGUAGAGAGUGGGGCUUGAGAAUCAUGCAGCCUCACCCCUCCCUUAUCCCAGGGGUUACAGAAGAGCUUGGGGUCCUUACCGAAAUGCCAUGGCACUUCAGGAGACUCCCCUUCUCUCUCCGAGCUGAACAUCCCUCAGUGGCAGCAAGUUCUUCCUUGUGUCUAACCAGAGUCUCUCUCGCUGCAGGAGCAGUCUGGAUGCCCCUCGUCGUAGCCAGUCUCCAGAGGUUGGCUGUCCCUAUGUGUUUGCCACUAUUUACAAUGAUGGAUUGAGGUUUCUUACGCAUGAACCUCUGCCCACAUGACGAAUACCAGACCCGUUUUUAAGGUAUUCCGCCCAGACUUCCAGAACAAUGCCUGUGACUUUAGAGAAGAAAUGGUAGCUGAGAAUAAGAGAAAUACUUGCUUCCGUUCACAUGCCUUCUCCUAUAACUGUAAGUUCCUCUUGAUAUGUUGCAUGGGGCCUUAAAUAUUGUUUAUGUUCAUGAAAUAUUUGCUAUAUUGUAAUAACAAUUGGAAUUAUUAGCUAAAGUCGAGCAGAGAAAAACAGAAUUGGAGAGAAGGGAAAAACAGAUCAAAACAUUAGAGGGAAAUACUUUGAACCACAUCUGUACCCCUAUCUGCCCUGCUGCAGUUUUCUGUUUUAAAGUCUCCACUAGGCACUCAGGGGAUUGUAGAAAUGGUAAUGCAUUGAAUCCAGGAAAAUGAAGUGUGAAGACCCAGAGAUGUGCCCAGAACAUAAGGUGGACCUUAGGCUGCACUGGGCUGGACAGCAGUCAAGGGCUCUGGGGUUGGCCCAUCUCAUAGGU